This is a long non-coding RNA of Spodoptera frugiperda (fall armyworm), 1795 nucleotides long. RefSeq lists it as uncharacterized. Lineage: Eukaryota; Metazoa; Arthropoda; Insecta; Lepidoptera; Noctuidae. The transcript is spliced from 2 exons. The record is from RefSeq and is a predicted model, not a curated record.
UAAAAAAUACGUUUCUAAUAUUUUAAAAUAAUUUACAAGAAGGAUAUUAAAAUAAAAAAAUAGUCAUCUACCCUUUUAUGUACACCGAGCAACAUUAAUCGGUAUACAGCCAACAUAACUAUAACUAUGCAAUACCUUUACAUGUGUGGGUAAUUUUAUAGUAAUGUGCAUAAAAACAAACUAAUAGUCAAACGCCUAUUACGCACACAGUUUCAUCACGCAUACACUUAUACUAAAUAUCAUUUUCGUGAGGGUAUACGCAUUAAUUCAAUAAUGAAAUAUAAAUAAAAACAAGGGUAAACAUAAAAACAAUACGUAACAAACAUUGAAUAAAUCAAAUAAGGAACGAUCGAGUUACAAAAAUUAUACCCAUAUAAAUAUAAUAUCUUCUCAUCGUUUUUUAUGUUAUUCAAUGAGAUACGAUAUUUAGAUUGUCACUUUAAUUGCACGUAUGGCGCAAUGGUUAUCACUUGCGGAUAAAGUGACGAGACGCCGGUUCGAACCCAGCAUCGCGUUCUUUUUGUAACAUUUUUUAAACAUUAUUGAAUGCAAAUUUUCUAAUGUUUCAAUAUCUAAAUAAAAAUUUACAAUGUUUGAGGCAACCACAGAACUCUCAGGUUAUUUUAUUUGGCCCGUUUAUGAAGUAACUACCGACAAUCCGCAAUAUUUUUCUCAAACACCCCACAUUAUAAAAAGUCUGUAUUCUUAGUUGUCAGUCUACGAGUAUUUAUUAAUAAUUAUCCACAACUCAUAGUCGUGUUUAAUUUAAUUUAUAUCUAUCCAUACAAAGUUAAAGUAUAAACAUAUAAACAUAACAUAGUCGUUGUUUUGCGGAAGAAGAACACAUAAAUUAUUUGAUAUUGUAAAGCGAUUAAGAAUAUUGAGGAAAAACAAGAAAUGCAGUUAUGGGUCGGCUGAUAUGGAUAUUCUGGAAACAUGGGAUAUAGAAUCACGCUAACGACGCGAAAUAAGUAAAUCCAGAGAUGAAUUCUUCGUUUAGCCACCACGGCAUUGUGCCCGAACGCAAGGUUGAUUCGGAUUACUUCCAAUGCUUUCUUCUCCACACGCGUAACAACGCGCGCCUAUGCUGCAAUCUGUGAUAUCACCUUCAUUCUGCCGUUUUACGUUGCAGCAAGUCAGCGCUGAACACAACAAUUACAAAUCUAUAAUAAUAGCUCAUCGAUAAAACAAAAGCAAUUACAAUCUGCUAGGUUGAUCUUAAUUUUGAAAAUAAUGUUGUAAUUUUACUAAAUAAACAUUUGAUCAUUUGGAUAAAGGUAAAAUAUAAUGGUGUAAAAAUGUGUGCGGCCUUAUAGGUGUGAUUAUAGUGAACGAAUUACUUUAACUAGUGGAAUCAUAAGUGUAUUGCAGUUGAAUUUAUUUUACUUAGUAAUUGUAAACCUUAUUUAUACAGACAUAACAUUCAUAAUUGUUUAGCAAUGUGAACAAAAACAAAUUUUAAUAAUAACUGAAUACACACGUUAUCGAAAUUUGAUUUUUUGUCCAUUACUAGGAAUAUCGAAAGUCUAAAGGAGACGGUGAAGUGAUGUUAUUGUUAAAAUGUUGGAAAUUGUCAUAAUUUCUUUCCAUUUAACAUGUUGAUUCAUUUCACCACUCGUAUUAGCCUAAUUAAAUUUAAAUAGCUAUAGAUUGUGAAUGUUAAAGGUGUCUGUAUUAAAUAAUUGCACCACGAUAUUUUUUCAUCCAAUUUUUUCAUGUUUUUUUACUUAUUGGACAUAAUAACACAUAAAUAAUAAAUUAUUUACAAUAAAAAAUAAUGUUGUUUUAUUCAGAA